CCUUUGACGUUAGCGGCGGACGGGUGAGUAACACGUGGGUAACCUACCUAUAAGACUGGGAUAACUUCGGGAAACCGGAGCUAAUACCGGAUAAUAUUUCGAACCGCAUGGUUCGAUAGUGAAAGGUGGUUUUGCUAUCACUUAUAGAUGGACCCGCGCCGUAUUAGCUAGUUGGUAAGGUAACGGCUUACCAAGGCGACGAUACGUAGCCGACCUGAGAGGGUGAUCGGCCACACUGUAACUGAGACACGGUCCAGACUCCUACGGGAGGCAGCAGGC
This 279-nucleotide ribosomal RNA is filed under the name uncultured Staphylococcus sp. Its description in RNAcentral is "partial 16S ribosomal RNA". It matches the Rfam family "Bacterial small subunit ribosomal RNA", at positions 83 to 354 of the family's 1533-position model. Lineage: Bacteria; Bacillati; Bacillota; Bacilli; Caryophanales; Staphylococcaceae. The record is from RNAcentral.